Molecule: long non-coding RNA, 153 nt
Organism: Hibiscus syriacus
Lineage: Eukaryota; Viridiplantae; Streptophyta; Magnoliopsida; Malvales; Malvaceae
Exons: 5
Source: RefSeq, a predicted model, not a curated record
CUGGUUCAUGAUAUCAUAUAGUACUGAUAUAUGUAAUUGACAGAUUUUAAAACGAAAACAUACAUCAUUAGAAAAUGGCUCGAAUCAAAUUACUUUAUCAAAUUUCUUUUAUCAAGAACUACAUGACUUGAAGAAAUGAAAUUCCAAUGUGUA